CGGAUGAGGACGACAAUGGAAGG
This 23-nucleotide non-coding RNA is filed under the name Cricetulus griseus (Chinese hamster). The record is from RNAcentral. Lineage: Eukaryota; Metazoa; Chordata; Mammalia; Rodentia; Cricetidae.